RNAcentral lists this ribosomal RNA (253 nucleotides) under uncultured bacterium. Its description in RNAcentral is "partial 16S ribosomal RNA". It matches the Rfam family "Bacterial small subunit ribosomal RNA", at positions 524 to 776 of the family's 1533-position model. The record is from RNAcentral.
UACGGGGGGGGCAAGCGUUGUUCGGAAUUACUGGGCGUAAAGGGUUUGUAGGUGGCCGGCUAAGUCAGACGUGAAAUCCCUCAGCUUAACUGGGGAACUGCGUCUGAAACUGAUCGGCUCGAGUGCAGGAGAGGAACGCGGAAUUCCAGGUGUAGCGGUGAAAUGCGUAGAUAUCUGGAGGAACACCGGUGGCGAGGGCGGCGUUCUGGACUGCAACUGACACUGUAAAACGAAAGCCAGGGGAGCAAACGGG